RNAcentral lists this ribosomal RNA (253 nucleotides) under uncultured bacterium. Its description in RNAcentral is "partial 16S ribosomal RNA". It matches the Rfam family "Bacterial small subunit ribosomal RNA", at positions 524 to 776 of the family's 1533-position model. The record is from RNAcentral.
UACGAAGGGGGCUAGCGUUGCUCGGAAUUACUGGGCGUAAAGGGCGCGUAGGCGGAUAUUUAAGUCGGGGGUGAAAGCCCAGGGCUCAACCCUGGAAUUGCCUUCGAUACUGGAUAUCUUGAGUUCGGGAGAGGUGAGUGGAAUGCCGAGUGUAGAGGUGAAAUUCGUAGAUAUUCGGCGGAGCACCAGUGGCGAAGGCGACUCACUGGCCCGAUACUGACGCUGAGGCGCGAAAGCGUGGGGAGCAAACAGG